Long non-coding RNA from Nerophis lumbriciformis (worm pipefish), 374 nucleotides. RefSeq lists it as uncharacterized. Lineage: Eukaryota; Metazoa; Chordata; Actinopteri; Syngnathiformes; Syngnathidae. The record is from RefSeq and is a predicted model, not a curated record.
CUGGCACGGAAGUUGUUCGCCAGUCACACCCGGGUCGGACGCGCUGUCAGAAUAAAAGCCUUUCACUGACGUUCUGACGGCGUAAUUUGCUUCUGCUUUUGGCCACGCGAUGUGACCACCAUGGACCUACUUUUGGUGGAUAGGCCAAAAGAAACUCGACUUGAGAAUAAAAUCAACUUUCACUUCCGGUUGGAACUUCUAAAACAACCACGUGACUUACUGAGAAAGGACUGAAGCCCCGAGGCUGCCUGAAAGAGUCCCAGUGUCUGUGCUCCUCGCCGGCCACUACGGCUACAGAAACUCCGGAGCGUCUUCCUCGGCCAAUGGACCUUGACGGAGAACCGCCCCAAUUUCCUCUAUUCGAACCGGGGGAA